RNAcentral lists this ribosomal RNA (468 nucleotides) under uncultured bacterium. RNAcentral's name for it is "partial 16S ribosomal RNA". It matches the Rfam family "Bacterial small subunit ribosomal RNA", at positions 28 to 507 of the family's 1533-position model. The record is from RNAcentral.
GACGAACGCUGGCGGCGUGCUUAACACAUGCAAGUCGAACGGAAAGGCCCUGCUUUUGUGGGGUGCUCGAGUGGCGAACGGGUGAGUAACACGUGAGUAACCUGCCCUUGACUUUGGGAUAACUUCAGGCAACUGGGGCUAAUACCGGCUAGGAGCUCCUGCUGCUUGGUGGGGGUUGGAAAGUUUCGGCGGUUGGGGAUGGACUCGCGGCUUAUCAGCUUGUUGGUUGGGUAGUGGCUUACCAAGGCCUUGACGGGUAGCCGGCCUGGGAGGGGGACCGGCCACAUUGGGACUGAGAUACGGCCCAGACGCGUACGGGAGGCAGCGGUGGAGAAUAUUGCACAAUGGGCGGAAGCCUGAUGCAGCAACGCCGCGUGCGGGAUGACGGCCAUCGGGUUGUAAAGCGCUUUCGCCUGUGACGAAGCGUGAGUGACGGUAAUGGGUGAAGAAGCACCGGCUAACUACGUG